RNAcentral lists this ribosomal RNA (499 nucleotides) under uncultured bacterium. Its description in RNAcentral is "partial 16S ribosomal RNA". It matches the Rfam family "Bacterial small subunit ribosomal RNA", at positions 29 to 523 of the family's 1533-position model. The record is from RNAcentral.
AUUGAACGCUGGCGGAAUGCUUUACACAUGCAAGUCGAACGGCAGCACGGACUUCGGUCUGGUGGCGAGUGGCGAACGGGUGAGUAAUACAUCGGAACGUGCCCAGUCGUGGGGGAUAACGUAGCGAAAGCUACGCUAAUACCGCAUACGAUCUAAGGAGGAAAGCGGGGGAUCGCAAGACCCCGCGCGAUUGGAGCGGCCGAGGGCAGAUUAGGUAGUGGGUGGGGUAAAGGCUCACCAAGCCGACGAUCUGUAGCUGGUCUGAGAGGACGACCAGACACACUGGGACUGAGACACGGCCCAGACUCCUACGGGAGGCAGCAGUGGGGAAUUUUGGACAAUGGCGCAAGCCUGAUCCAGCCAUUCCGCGUGCAGGAUGAAGGCCCUCGGGUUGUAAACUGCUUUUGUACGGAACGAAAAGGCUCUGGUUAAUACCUGGGGCUCAUGACGGUACCGUAAGAAUAAGCACCGGCUAACUACGUGCCAGCAGCCGCAGUAA